AAAUCUGGCCGGUAUUAACCACAAUAACGUUGAUUAAAUGGGCAAGCCCUGAUGUCUGUGUGCCUGAUUGAAUUUCAGCCUGGCCUGGCCUGCUUGGGAAACCCAGGUCUGGGCCAACGCCAGAGGAGGGCCUGCCAACCAGAGGAUGCUGUGCACUUGUGUGAGGAAUUUCUCACCAGAGAGGCUCCUGAGGCCAAAGGUUGACGCUCCUCCCUGCAGCCACUGUGCAAGAUGUGCUGGUCACUGCAGACAACUCUGAAGCCAGGAUGUCCAUGUGAAAUUCCACGCUCACCUGUCACUGAGCUCGCUCUCCCAGCUCCCCAGGGCAGCGCAGCCCCACCGCGACCCUCCCUCGGCACAGUUUGGCCCUUUGCGGGGUUGGAAUUGGCCGGACUUGGCUGUAGCCAGCAGCAGUCUGGGGGUGCCGGCGCCCUGCUGGCCCCUUCCUUCGGAACAGCCGGCCAGCCCAGAAGCAAGACCGCCUUCCCUCUCCCUCUGGACACACAGCCUUUGCAGAGUCAAGCUCCACUUGAAGCUCACUCAAUUUUGACACGUGGGACUCUUGUUGUAUUUACUGGUAAGAGUGUUUCCUUCUCUGGGAUCCUGCAUCUCUCGAUCUCUACACCCUCAGAACCUGAAGAUGCAAGUUUCACAAAUCCUCAAGCAACCGCUAGGAGUGAUGGGUACCUAUUAGAGAAAUUCUUCCAGGAUAUAUGGAUUCUACAGGUGUGAAGCAUUCAAAGAUAUAACCCUAACAGUCAGGAGGAGGAAUCAUGACUCCUGCCUGGGAAAGACAGUGACAUAAAGAAAUCAAAGCAGUGAAAGAGCUUCCUAGGGAAGUUGUCUGUGCGCCUUUGAAUGAAAACCAGAUGGAAGAAGCAGUGCUCUCAGUUCCCUGAAAGCCCAAGGAGUGGAAUGUUUCACCUGCCUCCAGUUCAAUAUGUACUGCAGUUGCCUAUUCAGCAUCAGAACAUUGAGGGCUGCUAGUUUGUCCCUAGCUGAGAGAGUGCCAGAGAGGCUUUGCUCACCUAAGGACUAAGUGUGAGUACAUCCUCAGCAAUCCACUGAUUGCUAUUUCUGUGGUGCAAGAUGCAAAGGUGGCUAAAAGGCUAGGUAACUGUGCUUCCUAAGAAGCUGUGGUGGACAUUGGCCUCAUCU
Molecule: long non-coding RNA, 1158 nt
Organism: Canis lupus familiaris (dog)
Lineage: Eukaryota; Metazoa; Chordata; Mammalia; Carnivora; Canidae
Exons: 4
Source: RefSeq, a predicted model, not a curated record